GACGAACGCUGGCGGCGUGCCUAAUACAUGCAAGUAGAACGCUGAAGCGAGGAGCUUGCUCUUCUUGGAUGAGUUGCGAACGGGUGAGUAACGCGUAGGUAACCUGCCUUGUAGCGGGGGAUAACUAUUGGAAACGAUAGCUAAUACCGCAUAACAAUGGAUGACACAUGUCAUUUAUUUGAAAGGGGCAAUUGCUCCACUACAAGAUGGACCUGCGUUGUAUUAGCUAGUAGGUGAGGUAAUGGCUCACCUAGGCGACGAUACAUAGCCGACCUGAGAGGGUGAGCGGCCACACUGGGACUGAGACACGGCCCAGACUCCUACGGGAGGCAGCAGUAGGGAAUCUUCGGCAAUGGGGGCAACCCUGACCGAGCAACGCCGCGUGAGUGAAGAAGGUUUUCGGAUCGUAAAGCUCUGUUGUAGGUCAAGAACGGGUGUGAGAGUGGAAAGUUCACACUGUGACGGUAGCUUACCAGAAAGGGACGGCUAACUACGUG
RNAcentral lists this ribosomal RNA (497 nucleotides) under uncultured bacterium. RNAcentral describes it as "partial 16S ribosomal RNA". It matches the Rfam family "Bacterial small subunit ribosomal RNA", at positions 28 to 507 of the family's 1533-position model. The record is from RNAcentral.